CACUCUACUCACAUGCAUGCCACAAUGGAAAACGGAAAAAAAAACAACCAUGCACGCAUGAAAAGCAUUUAGCCACUGGCGUUGAGGGCGCUUCUAUUUCCCACAUUGCUUUUUUCACUAUUUACGCGUUUUUUUCUUUCUUUUUAUUACUUUUUC
This 156-nucleotide non-coding RNA is filed under the name Platyophrya macrostoma. Lineage: Eukaryota; Ciliophora; Colpodea; Cyrtolophosidida; Platyophryidae. The record is from RNAcentral.